GCCCGAUUAGCUCAGCUGGUUAGAGCGUCGUACUAAUAGAUAUCCUAUCUAUCAAGUAAUGCGAAGGUCAACAGUUCAAUCCUGUUAUUGGGCA
This 94-nucleotide transfer RNA is filed under the name Bombardia bombarda. RNAcentral's name for it is "tRNA-Ile". Lineage: Eukaryota; Fungi; Ascomycota; Sordariomycetes; Sordariales; Lasiosphaeriaceae. The record is from RNAcentral.